RNAcentral lists this ribosomal RNA (476 nucleotides) under uncultured Latescibacterota bacterium. RNAcentral's name for it is "bacterial SSU rRNA". It matches the Rfam family "Bacterial small subunit ribosomal RNA", at positions 906 to 1382 of the family's 1533-position model. The record is from RNAcentral. Lineage: Bacteria; Pseudomonadati; Candidatus Latescibacterota.
GGAAGUUGACGGGGCCCGCACAAGCGGUGGAGCAUGUGGUUAAUUCGACGCAACGCGAAGAACCUUACCAGGGCUUGACAUCCCCUGACCGCGUAUGAAAGACGUUUCACCCUCGGGUGACAGGGAGACAGGUGGUGCAUGGUUGUCGUCAGCUCGUGUCGUGAGAUGUUGGGUUAAGUCCCGCAACGAGCGCAACCCUUAUCCCUAGUUGCCAUCAGGUAAAGCUGGGAACUCUGGGGAGACUGCCGGUGAUAAACCGGAGGAAGGCGGGGAUGACGUCAAGUCCUCAUGGCCCUUACAUCCCGGGCUACACACGUGCUACAAUGGCAGGUACAGAGGGCUGCGAAGCCGCGAGGUGGAGCGAAUCCCAGAAAACCUGUCUCAGUCCGGAUUGAAGUCUGCAACUCGACUUCAUGAAGGCGGAAUCGCUAGUAACCGCGAAUCAGCAGGUCGCGGUGAAUACGUUCCCGGGCCUU